GGUCAGGUAGAGAAUACCAAGGCGCUUGAGAGAACUCGGGUGAAGGAACUAGGCAAAAUGGUGCCGUAACUUCGGGAGAAGGCACGCUGAUAUGUAGGUGAAGUCCCUCGCGGAUGGAGCUGAAAUCAGUCGAAGAUACCAGCUGGCUGCAACUGUUUAUUAAAAACACAGCACUGUGCAAACACGAAAGUGGACGUAUACGGUGUGACGCCUGCCCGGUGCCGGAAGGUUAAUUGAUGGGGUCAGCGCAAGCGAAGCUCUUGAUCGAAGCCCCGGUAAACGGCGGCCGUAACUAUAACGGUCCUAAGGUAGCGAAAUUCCUUGUCGGGUAAGUUCCGACCUGCACGAAUGGCGUAAUGAUGGCCAGGCUGUCUCCACCCGAGACUCAGUGAAAUUGAACUCGCUGUGAAGAUGCAGUGUACCCGCGGCAAGACGGAAAGACCCCGUGAACCUUUACUAUAGCUUGACACUGAACAUUGAGCCUUGAUGUGUAGGAUAGGUGGGAGGCUUUGAAGUGUGGACGCCAGUCUGCAUGGAGCCGACCUUGAAAUACCACCCUUUAAUGUUUGAUGUUCUAACGUGGACCCGUGAUCCGGGUUGCGGACAGUGUCUGGUGGGUAGUUUGACUGGGGCGGUCUCCUCCUAAAGAGUAACGGAGGAGCACGAAGGUUGGCUAAUCCUGGUCGGACAUCAGGAGGUUAGUGCAAUGGCAUAAGCCAGCUUGACUGCGAGCGUGACGGCGCGAGCAGGUGCGAAAGCAGGUCAUAGUGAUCCGGUGGUUCUGAAUGGAAGGGCCAUCGCUCAACGGAUAAAAGGUACUCCGGGGAUAACAGGCUGAUACCGCCCAAGAGUUCAUAUCGACGGCGGUGUUUGGCACCUCGAUGUCGGCUCAUCACAUCCUGGGGCUGAAGUAGGUCCCAAGGGUAUGGCUGUUCGCCAUUUAAAGUGGUACGCGAGCUGGGUUUAGAACGUCGUGAGACAGUUCGGUCCCUAUCUGCCGUGGGCGCUGGAGAACUGAGGGGGGCUGCUCCUAGUACGAGAGGACCGGAGUGGACGCAUCACUGGUGUUCGGGUUGUCAUGCCAAUGGCACUGCCCGGUAGCUAAAUGCGGAAGAGAUAAGUGCUGAAAGCAUCUAAGCACGAAACUUGCCCCGAGAUGAGUUCUCCCUGACCCUUUAAGGGUCCUGAAGGAACGUUGAAGACGACGACGUUGAUAGGCCGGGUGUGUAAGCGCAGCGAUGCGUUGAGCUAACCGGUACUAAUGAACCGUGAGGCUUAACCUUACAACGCCGAAGGUGUUU
RNAcentral lists this ribosomal RNA (1301 nucleotides) under Escherichia coli. Its description in RNAcentral is "partial 23S ribosomal RNA". It matches the Rfam family "Bacterial large subunit ribosomal RNA", at positions 1665 to 2925 of the family's 2925-position model. The record is from RNAcentral. Lineage: Bacteria; Pseudomonadati; Pseudomonadota; Gammaproteobacteria; Enterobacterales; Enterobacteriaceae.